AUCGUACUUUGAUUCUAUUACAACUCCGGAUACAAUUAUUGCUCAGAGUAGGCCUGGGCAAAAAAACCGCUAACCGAUUAACCGAACCGAAUCGAACCGAAAAACAUGGUUCGGUUCAGGUUUGGAUAGCUUAAAAUAACCGGUUGAAUAUUAUAUGUCUUAGAUUUCGGUUUCGGUUUCGGUUAGGUUAAUAACCGAUAACCAAAUGAAAACCAAAGCAUAUAUGUAUGAUAGAUAAUAUAUCACAGUAUGUAUUGACACUUAACUAUGUUUUUCUCUUUAUUAGUUUGCAAGUUGAAUUUCGUGAGUUGUGAAUCAGGUGUUUUAAUAUUAUGGAGAGUAUGGACCAUCUUUGUGAGUUGUGAAUAUUUCUCUUUUUUACGUACGUUCUAUAUCGGUUAUUGGUCAAAUUUUUUGGUUGUUUCGGUUUUUAGUCGGUUAUUUCGGUUUUAGUUUAUUUAUGGUUACCAAGUUUAAUAUCCAAACCGAACCGAACCGAAAGAUAUCCGAACCGAACCGAACCAAAAUUCCUCAAAUAUCCAAAUGGUUCUUAUAUUACUAUAACCGAAAUAACCGAAACCAUGCGCAACCGAACCGAAACUGAAUGCCCAGGCCUAGCUCAGAGGCUAUUUGAAAGAAA
This 640-nucleotide small RNA is filed under the name Arabidopsis thaliana (thale cress). Its description in RNAcentral is "ATSL241650". The record is from RNAcentral. Lineage: Eukaryota; Viridiplantae; Streptophyta; Magnoliopsida; Brassicales; Brassicaceae.